Molecule: long non-coding RNA, 246 nt
Organism: Poecile atricapillus (Black-capped chickadee)
Lineage: Eukaryota; Metazoa; Chordata; Aves; Passeriformes; Paridae
Exons: 3
Source: RefSeq, a predicted model, not a curated record
AUCUCGAGCUGAUUUGCAAGGAUAAACCGGAGCUGGGAGAGCAGCACUGACUCAGCUCAGCAUUCCUGGGCUCCUCGAGGGCUGCUCCAGGCAGGCAUCUUCAGGAAAGCCGCUCUGAAUUGACUUCCAAAUGAGAGUAAUUAAAGCAAACGAGGCCUUUGCAGGGAAGAGCUGCUGGCUGGAUGCUGCACUUGGCUCAAGCGAGUCACCUAUUUUCGCACGGCUUGUGGGCGCUCCGUGUCAUCG